CAGACCUCACCAGAUGCCAAACUGAGAGGUCUGGCAACCUCUGAAGGUCACCCGGUCUGGGAUUUUUCUUCCCUUGCUUUUCUGGCUGUAGCUCUGCAUGUGUGUGCACUGGAAAGUACACAUUUUAGUGGCUGAGGAUCAACAUGGGGGGCACCCUGCAAGGAGCAAGUUUACGGAGACCAUAACACGGUCUCCUUGAAAGAAGAUGGGCCCAUUCUGUUCUUCUCCAAGACGCCUGACCCUGUAAAUGAGACAGAUUUCAGUGGUAAUUCCCAGAGUUCAGCUUUCCAAGACAGAAGCCAUGCACCAGAGACCACAUAGGUCACCUCCCUGUGGAUCUGGGGUCAGAGCCUGUCCCCUGGAAGGGAGCACACAUUCACGUCCCCAGAGAUUGACACAGACCGGGACUGUCUCCAGGGUCUCACUAAUUGCCCAGGCUAGCCUCAAAUUUGUGAUCCUCCUGCCUCAACCUCCGAGUAACUGGGAUGACAGUCAUGCACCACCAUGCCUGGUCACAUCAUGAAGGACUCUGGCUUCUGUUCCAUGUCCUGGAUGGCUGACUCAAUUUGGGGUGAGCCAUGUUACCACAGCCCUGCAGAGAGGUGCAGAGGGCAAGCACUGAGCCCACUGCCACAGUCAUGUGAGGCCGUUGGGAGCGGCUCUUCCAGCCCCGGUUGGAUCUCCAGAGACCACAGCCAYGGCCUGACCUCAGCCACUGGGAGACGCACCCAGCUGGGCUCCUCCUGAGUUCCUGACUCUAGCAAUUGUGUGGUUACCCGUGUAUAUUGUCUUAAAAUUCUAAAUGUUGGGUUAAUUUGUUUCUCAGCAACAGAUAAGUAAAAUGGUCUUUUUCAUUGUC
Urocitellus parryii (Arctic ground squirrel) is the source of this 859-nucleotide long non-coding RNA. RefSeq lists it as uncharacterized. Lineage: Eukaryota; Metazoa; Chordata; Mammalia; Rodentia; Sciuridae. The record is from RefSeq and is a predicted model, not a curated record.